RNAcentral lists this long non-coding RNA (809 nucleotides) under Parus major (Great Tit). RNAcentral's name for it is "lncRNA (ENSPMJG00000013091.1)". The record is from RNAcentral. Lineage: Eukaryota; Metazoa; Chordata; Aves; Passeriformes; Paridae.
CGGCGGGCCCAGCGCCCCCUGGCGGAGCGCGCUGUGGGAACGCGCCGGCCUGGGGAAACUGAGGCACAGGGAGGGCGUCACCCUCAGCAUCUUGAUAUUCCAGGGAAUUCUUGAGGGUGGAAGAGACCUCGGAGACCAUCGAGUCCAACAUAUGGCCGAGCACCGCUUUGUCGCUGAGCGCCACGUACAGAUCUUCCUUAAACAUCUCCAGGGAUGAGCUGGGAAAAAGGAGCUGCUUAGCCCAGACGGAGCAGCAAAUUCCCAAAUCCUGCCUGGAAAAGCCAUCAGUUCCUCCCAUGCCAGAGCAGGAUCAAGUGGUGCUUCCAGCAAGACUCCGGGUGAAGUUUUGGAUACUCUCAGGGCCGAAAUCUUCUGAUUUUGAAGCAAAUUGAAGUGGCCAAGCAGCACCUCCUGAGUUCCUCAGCUCCUGGUGAGUCUGGGCCUGCCCAAAAUCAACCUCUGUGGGAAGAGGGAGGAGGGAUUUGGGAUAUUUGGGAUGGAGGAGUGGGAAGGAGGCAGCAGCUGUGAGCUCUGGCUAUAAAAAGUCCUCUGGGGAGGGGGUGGUCUCGGCUUGAUUCCGUUCUAAAUCCAGCCUGGAGCUGAUAUCCCAGGAAGUUUCUCUCUCACACCACCAGUUCCAGCAAUUCCCUCUUUUCCUUCCCAUUUCCCCCCCAAAAAAACCCCAAAAUUUUGGGUUUGGGGUUGCCCAAAAACACAUUAUUUAGUGAUGAAAGCACUGAAAUUCCUCAUUUUAUCCAGGAAAGUUGAAAUCCCAGGCAGGUUCUCUCUGCCACCUCCAGCAAUUCCCU